GUGCCAGCAGCCGCGGUAAUACGGGGGGUGCAAGCGUUGUUCGGAUUUAUUGGGCGUAAAGCGCGUGUAGGCGGUUUGUUAAGUCUGAUGUGAAAGCCCUGGGCUCAACCCAGGAAGUGCAUUGGAAACUGGCAGACUUGAAUACGGGAGAGGGUAGUGGAAUUCCUGGUGUAGGAGUGAAAUCCGUAGAUAUCAGGAGGAACACCGGUGGCGAAGGCGGCCAUCUGGACGGACACUGACGCUGAGGCGCGAAAGCGUGGGGAGAAAACAG
This 271-nucleotide ribosomal RNA is filed under the name uncultured bacterium. RNAcentral's name for it is "partial 16S rRNA". It matches the Rfam family "Bacterial small subunit ribosomal RNA", at positions 505 to 775 of the family's 1533-position model. The record is from RNAcentral.